AUUGAACGCUGGCGGCAUGCUUUACACAUGCAAGUCGAACGGUAACAGGCCGCAAGGUGCUGACGAGUGGCGCACGGGUGCGUAAUGCAUCGGAACGUGCCCAGUCGUGGGGGAUAACUACUCGCAAGAGUAGCUAAUACCGCAUACGAUCUAUGGAUGAAAGCGGGGGACCGUAAGGCCUCGCGCGAUUGGAGCGGCCGAUGUCAGAUUAGGUAGUUGGUGGGGUAAAGGCUCACCAAGCCAACGAUCUGUAGCUGGUCUGAGAGGACGACCAGCCACACUGGGACUGAGACACGGCCCAGACUCCUACGGGAGGCAGCAGUGGGGAAUUUUGGACAAUGGGCGCAAGCCUGAUCCAGCAAUGCCGCGUGCAGGAAGAAGGCCUUCGGGUUGUAAACUGCUUUUGUACGGAACGAAACGGCUCUGGUUAAUACCCGGGGCUAAUGACGGUACCGUAAGAAUAAGCACCGGCUAACUACGUG
Molecule: ribosomal RNA, 482 nt
Filed under: uncultured bacterium
Lineage: Bacteria
Description: partial 16S ribosomal RNA
Rfam family: Bacterial small subunit ribosomal RNA
Source: RNAcentral